This 497-nucleotide ribosomal RNA is filed under the name uncultured bacterium. RNAcentral describes it as "partial 16S ribosomal RNA". It matches the Rfam family "Bacterial small subunit ribosomal RNA", at positions 28 to 507 of the family's 1533-position model. The record is from RNAcentral.
GAUGAACGCUGGCGGCGUGCCUAAUACAUGCAAGUCGAGCGAACAGACGAGGCGCUUGCUCCUCUGACGUUAGCGGCGGACGGGUGAGUAACACGUGGAUACCCUACCUAUCUGACUGGGAUAACUUCGGGAAACCGGAGCUAAUACCGGAUAAUAUAUUGAACCGCAUGGUUCAAUAGUGAAAGACGGUUUUGCUGUCACUUAUAGCUGCAUCCGGGCCGCAUUAGCUAGUUGGUAAGGUAACGGCUUACCAAGGCGACGAUGCGUAGCCGACCUGAGAGGGUGAUCGGCCACACUGGAACUGAGACACGGUCCAGACUCCUACGGGAGGCAGCAGUAGGGAAUCUUCCGCAAUGGGCGAAAGCCUGACGGAGCAACGCCGCGUGAGUGAUGAAGGUCUUCGGAUCGUAAAACUCUGUUAUUAGGGAAGAACAAAUGUGUAAGUAACUAUGCACGUCUUGACGGUACCUAAUCAGAAAGCCACGGCUAACUACGUG